GGUCAAGCGAACAAGUGCAUGUGGUGGAUGCCUUGGCGAUCACAGGCGAUGAAGGACGCGGUAGCCUGCGAAAAGCGGAGGGGAGCUGGCAAACGAGCUUUGAUCCUCCGAUAUCCGAAUGGGGAAACCCGGCCCGUAUGGGUCAUCCGUAACUGAAUACAUAGGUUACGUGAAGCGAACGCGGUGAACUGAAACAUCUAAGUAACCGCAGGAAAAGAAAUCAACCGAGAUUCCCAGAGUAGUGGCGAGCGAAAUGGGACCAGCCUGUACUCUUUAUCUUCAUUGUUAGUCGAAGGCUCUGGAAAGUGCCGCCAUAGCAGGUGAUAGCCCUGUAGACGAAAACAGCGAGGAAGAACUAGGUGUACGGAAAGUAGGGCGGGACACGUGAAAUCCUGUCUGAAGAUGGGGGGACCAUCCUCCAAGGCUAAAUACUCGUGAUCGACCGAUAGUGAACCAGUACCGUGAGGGAAAGGCGAAAAGAACCCCGGGAGGGGAGUGAAAUAGAUCCUGAAACCGCAUGCAUACAAACAGUCGGAGCCUCUGCGAAGGGGUGACGGCGUACCUUUUGUAUAAUGGGUCAGCGACUUACAUUCAGUGGCAAGCUUAACCGAUUAGGGCAGGCGUAGCGAAAGCGAGUCCGAACAGGGCGAUUCAGUCGCUGGGUGUAGACCCGAAACCAGGUGAUCUAUCCAUGGCCAGGAUGAAGGUGCGGUAACACGUACUGGAGGUCCGAACCCACUAACGUUGAAAAGUUAGGGGAUGAGCUGUGGAUAGGGGUGAAAGGCUAAACAAACCUGGAAAUAGCUGGUUCUCUCCGAAAACUAUUUAGGUAGUGCCUCGUGUAUCACCUUCGGGGGUAGAGCACUGUCAUGGUUGUGGGGUCCAUUGCGGAUUACUACGCCAUAGCAAACUCCGAAUACCGAAGAGUGCAAUCACGGGAGACAGACAUCGGGUGCUAACGUCCGGUGUCAAGAGGGAAACAACCCAGACCGCCAGCUAAGGUCCCCAAAUAUUGCUAAGUGGGAAACGAAGUGGGAAGGCUAAAACAGUCAGGAGGUUGGCUUAGAAGCAGCCAUCCUUUAAAGAAAGCGUAAUAGCUCACUGAUCGAGUCGUCCUGCGCGGAAGAUGUAACGGGGCUAAGCAAUAUACCGAAGCUGCGGAUGCACAUUUAUGUGCAUGGUAGGAGAGCGUUCCGUAAGCCUGCGAAGGUGCAUUGAAAAGUGUGCUGGAGGUAUCGGAAGUGCGAAUGCUGACAUGAGUAGCGAUAAAGGGGGUGAAAGGCCCCCUCGCCGUAAGCCCAAGGUUUCCUACGCAACGUUCAUCGGCGUAGGGUGAGUCGGCCCCUAAGGCGAGGCAGAAAUGCGUAGCUGAUGGGAAGCAGGUUAAUAUUCCUGCACCAUUGUUAAAUGCGAUGGGGGGACGGAUCGCGGAAGGUUGUCCGGGUGUUGGAAGUCCCGGUCCUUGCAUUGGAGAAGGCGCUCAGGCAAAUCCGGGCGCGGAAUUCAAGGGUGCGAGGCCAUUCACUUAGGUGAAGAAGCAAUCGGAAGUGGUUCCAAGAAAAGCCUCUAAGCUUCAGUUUAACAGGACCGUACCGCAAACCGACACAGGUGGGCGAGAUGAGUAUUCUAAGGCGCUUGAGAGAACUCGGGAGAAGGAACUCGGCAAAUUGGUACCGUAACUUCGGGAUAAGGUACGCCCCUGUAGCUUGAUGCCCCUGCGGGCAGAGGGUGAAGGGGUUGCAAUAAACUGGUGGCUGCGACUGUUUAAUAAAAACACAGCACUCUGCAAACACGAAAGUGGACGUAUAGGGUGUGACGCCUGCCCGGUGCCGGAAGAUUAAAUGAUGGGGUGCAAGCUCUUGAUUGAAGUCCCGGUAAACGGCGGCCGUAACUAUAACGGUCCUAAGGUAGCGAAAUUCCUUGUCGGGUAAGUUCCGACCUGCACGAAUGGCGUAACGAUGGCCACACUGUCUCCUCCCGAGACUCAGCGAAGUUGAAGUGUUUGUGAUGAUGCAAUCUCCCCGCGGCUAGACGGAAAGACCCCAUGAACCUUUACUGUAGCUUUGCAUUGGACUUUGAACCGAUCUGUGUAGGAUAGGUGGGAGGCUAUGAAGCGUGGACGCCAGUCUGCGUGGAGCCGUCCUUGAAAUACCACCCUGGUUUGUUUGAGGUUCUAACCUUGGUCCGUAAUCCGGAUCGGGGACAGUGCAUGGUAGGCAGUUUGACUGGGGCGGUCUCCUCCCAAAGUGUAACGGAGGAGUACGAAGGUACGCUAGGUACGGUCGGAAAUCGUGCUGAUAGUGCAAUGGCAUAAGCGUGCUUAACUGCGAGACCGACAAGUCGAGCAGGUGCGAAAGCAGGUCAUAGUGAUCCGGUGGUUCUGUAUGGAAGGGCCAUCGCUCAACGGAUAAAAGGUACUCUGGGGAUAACAGGCUGAUACCGCCCAAGAGUUCAUAUCGACGGCGGUGUUUGGCACCUCGAUGUCGGCUCAUCUCAUCCUGGGGCUGUAGCCGGUCCCAAGGGUAUGGCUGUUCGCCAUUUAAAGAGGUACGUGAGCUGGGUUUAAAACGUCGUGAGACAGUUUGGUCCCUAUCUGCCGUGGGCGCUGGAUAUUUGAAGGGGGCUGCUCCUAGUACGAGAGGACCGGAGUGGACGAACCUCUGGUGUACCGGUUGUCACGCCAGUGGCAUCGCCGGGUAGCUAUGUUCGGAAGAGAUAACCGCUGAAAGCAUCUAAGCGGGAAACUCGCCUUAAGAUGAGAUAUCCCCGGGGCUUCGAGCCCCUUGAAGGGUCGUUCAAGACCAGGACGUUGAUAGGUCAGGUGUGGAAGCGCAGUAAUGCGUUAAGCUAACUGAUACUAAUUGCCCGUAAGGCUUGAUCCU
Molecule: ribosomal RNA, 2882 nt
Filed under: Paraburkholderia fungorum
Lineage: Bacteria; Pseudomonadati; Pseudomonadota; Betaproteobacteria; Burkholderiales; Burkholderiaceae
Description: 23S ribosomal RNA
Rfam family: Bacterial large subunit ribosomal RNA
Source: RNAcentral